Molecule: unclassified non-coding RNA, 433 nt
Filed under: Hevea brasiliensis (rubber tree)
Lineage: Eukaryota; Viridiplantae; Streptophyta; Magnoliopsida; Malpighiales; Euphorbiaceae
Source: RNAcentral
GCAUUAGAGAAUGAGAGGAUAAUGAUGGACAGGACGUGGAGAGAGCGAGAAGAACAAAGAAGAAUGAGAGAAGAAGCUAGGGCAGAGAAGAAGGACGCACUAAUCACAGCACUUCUAAACAAGCUUAGAAGAGAAGAAAUUUAAAUCAAGCNNNNNNNNNNNNNUGUUUUGAAGAAGAAGAAGAAGAAGAAGGAAAGCUUUGAGAGAGGAGAGAGAGGUUUGUCCCUGAAACUCUCAUUUUGGAGAUGUUAUUGUUCUUUAGAUAUGUGCUUUCCACUCCAUUAUCAUCUCUCUCCCUUCUCUCAAAGCUUUCUUGCCCACUUUGUGGCUACUUUUGCUCAGUAGGAUCAAUUAAAAAGCUUCAAAUCUCUCUUACAAUAUAUGAUUGUUUAUUUGCUCUUCUAUGAUCUUAAUCAUGAAAGUUCUGUUAUCA